This 98-nucleotide transfer RNA is filed under the name Sclerotinia borealis F-4128. It matches the Rfam family "tRNA". Rfam says of the family: Transfer RNA (tRNA) molecules are approximately 80 nucleotides in length. Their secondary structure includes four short double-helical elements and three loops (D, anti-codon, and T loops). The record is from Rfam by way of RNAcentral. Lineage: Eukaryota; Fungi; Ascomycota; Leotiomycetes; Helotiales; Sclerotiniaceae.
GGGGCUGUGGUUUAGGGGUAUAACAUUCCUUUCGCACAUCAUAUGAUUCAAUAUGAUUAGACUAGGAAAGGUCUUGGGUUCGAUUCCCAACCGCUCCA